GAUGAACGCUGGCGGCGUGCUUAACACAUGCAAGUCGAACGAUUAACCCGCCUUCGGGCGGUCAUAGAGUGGCGAACGGGUGAGUAACACGUGACCAACCUGCCCCAGACAUCGGGAUAACUGCCGGAAACGGCAGCUAAUACCGGAUACUAUCCUCCCGCCGCAUGGCGGAGGGAUGAAAGCUUUCGCGGUCUGGGAUGGGGUCGCGGCCCAUCAGGUAGUAGGUGAGGUAGCAGCUCACCUAGCCGACGACGGGUAGCCGGACUGAGAGGUCGAUCGGCCACAUUGGGACUGAGAUACGGCCCAG
This 307-nucleotide ribosomal RNA is filed under the name uncultured bacterium. RNAcentral describes it as "bacterial SSU rRNA". It matches the Rfam family "Bacterial small subunit ribosomal RNA", at positions 28 to 334 of the family's 1533-position model. The record is from RNAcentral.